This is a non-coding RNA of Girardinichthys multiradiatus, 276 nucleotides long. RefSeq annotates it as small Cajal body-specific RNA 6. The record is from RefSeq and is a predicted model, not a curated record. NCBI's taxonomy places the organism in Eukaryota, Metazoa, Chordata, Actinopteri, Cyprinodontiformes, Goodeidae. The transcript has a single exon.
GGUCAGUGAUGAACAGUAAAAGGUCUGAUUCCCACAAUCCUCUGCUGCCUCCGGCUCCCAGCAGCCCGCUCUCUGCUCCCAUCAUGCUCCAGUCAUGCAGCCAUGGGCCCAGCAGCUGCUGACACACAGGAUGUGACAUCACACAGGAUGUGACAUCACUGAGAGGUUGACUUGAGAACCUGCGGCCUCUCAGUGAUGCUGAUCCAACAUGACUAAUCAGUAUGGGGCGUCAGGAGGAGGAGGACGGAGCUGAUCUCAAGUUUUCAAGCUGAGACC